CGCAUGCGCAUUAAGUGGGCGGAUGUAAUGAUUUCGAUGGGAAGAAAUAAUAUUCAGCAUCGAAGGAAUAACAACUGAAAUCAUCCCGUCCUGCAGCAUGCACCUAUGUGAAUGUGGAGAAUGACCAGCAAUGUCCAAGGGGUAGCAGCAGGGUAACACUGCAUGAGGCGGUGCCCCCUGAAGGAGCCCAAAACACUGCUCUUCAAAUGGAACACAUCCAACCUUCAGGUGACCGUGCAGGAUGUACCACUCUGGAACAUCAAGCCUCUCCCCACCUGCCAGGUACACCCACCGUCUUCUGUGGCUGAAUAAUGUUUUGCUGUGAAUUUUGUCUCAAAGCAAAUCCUGCUCAAAUGUGACAAACUUUGGAGUGUAAGAAUGUGAGCGAUAUGCUGAGAUGUUAUACGUUUUGCCUUGUGACAAAAUGUUAUCAAAAACCUUUAGUGAUUUGUAUUCUAUUUUACUUUCAGCACAUGAAAAUAUUUCUACUUCUGACCAUCGAAGAGAAUGGAAAACCAUUUUCCAGAUCAGCCCUCAUACAUCCUCCUGAUGGCCUAACAACUGAAUGACAUGUCGAUGCUGAGUAUGAUCCAUUUCAAUCAUUUGAGGAAGCUCUCCCUGAUAUAGGGGAUUGGAUGUACAAUGACGGACAUACGUUUAAUGAAGGAUUUGAAGAUGGUUUGAGUGAGGAGUGUGCAGAAGAGUCCAAUUUCAAGGACACAACAGACAAACCAAUACAUGACAAUGCAUCAGAAACCAUGGCAGAGUGCCUUCUGAUCAGCAUGGGUUAUGUAAACUGUCCUAAAGUCACAGGUAAGGCCCUAAGCCAUAUGCUCAAAAUGUUCAAGUUGCUUUAUCCCGAUAGUCUGAACACAGACUGCUUAAACAGUGUGCAGAAGUUCCAAAACUUUUUUUUAUCCCACUCUGCAUCAUCGCCUACUAUAUUACAUAAAUCCUCCAAGAAUUGUUUUGGGCCAAUAGAAAGUAAACAAAUAAAAUGCCUGCUUUGUGGGACCAGUGUGUCAGAAGAAAGAUUCUCAUCCUUUUUUUAAAGUAUGUACAGAUUGAUUUCUUGUUUACCACAGCACAUUCAUGUGCCAAAUGGGCCCUCGUUGGUGAAUAUAAACAUGCAGGUUUUUCUUUGCUGCAAGAUAGUGUAACAUAUGAGACAUGCAGUCAUGUUAUUCCCCUAUUGGAAACCUCUGCAGUACAGUAGUAUUCUUGGAUGACAUAUUGGGUAAAGUUGUUUUCCUUGACUUCACAUCUAUGCCUGGCAUAGGGAUUGCAGUUCAUUUCCCCAACACACUUGAAAAGUUUGAAAUAAUGAAGAACUGAACUGGCCUAAGAAGCCACAAAUCAAAUCUUUAAUCAUUGUUAUAAAUGCUCUGAAAAUACACACUGAUGUGAUGUUGCCGUGGAUUCUGUAAAUAUGUACUGUAUAUGGAGUAUCAUUGUUGAUGAUGUUUUUGCAUUGUGUGUAAUAUUUCAGUGGCAAAUAUAUUACAUUUACUUGUUUAAUAAAGCCACUGUCCUUUUUAAUGAAUACAUAGGCCUACUAUGCUACUGUAUUUUAAUAUUAGUCCUUAUGAUGGUGGUUGGAGAGCCAAAUAUCUUCUGAAGUGGUACUUUGUUAAAAGAGUUUGAGAACCACUGCUCUAGAAAGUUCACAAAUGUUAAAAGCUCUUACAAAGUGUCUUGUGAUCAUAUCAGUAUUGUUUGGGUUCAGUUUUAAAUCUCACAAUUGUAGUCACUGAGUUACUGUACAUGACGUGUGGAUAAGAAAUCAACAAAUUAAGUCCAACUUUAUUUAAAUAAACCAUUUAGAUUACAGACCAUAUAUCCAUAUUGUCUGAAUUCAUUAUUUUCUCCCAAUGUUGGCAUGAGAUCAACUGGAAUAUGAUUGAGGUAUAACUAAAUUGAGCCCAUUAAAAUGCAUUUUUUUAGAAAACGGGUAUAUCUAACAACUCAAAUAGUGAGCAGUGAGAGACAAAACCAAGUAUAUCUCUCACUGAGACAUCAUUGAGACAUAUUGAAACCAAUACUCAUCAAUUGUCUUUUUGCCGAAAUAGAAAAGAGACAUCUGAGAACUCAAACAGUGAGUAGUGAGAAACAAAACCAGGUGUUUCUCUCACUGAGUCAUAAUUGAGACAUAUUGGAGACCAGCUCAUUCAUCUCUCAUUUUGGUCUUAGUUGAAAUGGGGAAAAGAGAUAACUAUUAGACAACUAUGAGAUCUCUCAUAGUGCUCACUGUGAGCCUUAUUUCUCAGGAGAUACAUUUGAGAAGAAUGAGAAAACUACUUUGGUCUCCAUUAGUGCUCUUUUAUGUCUAGGAGAUAGAUAUAAGACAUACAUGAGAUCUCAUCUUCAAUUUUGCUUUGCUAUGGGAAACAAGAGUUUGAUGAGCAUUCCUCAACUUUUUCGGUCUUUUUUGACACUCGUGCCAGCUUUUUUUAAGCAUGUUGCAGGCAUCAAAUUCCAAAAUGAGCUAAUAUUUGCAAAAAAAAAAGUUUCUCAGAUCCAACAUCAAAUAUCUUGUCUUUGCAGUCUAUUCAAUUGAAUAUAAUUUAAAAAGGAUUUACAAAUCAUUGUAUUCUGUUUUUAUUUACCAUUUACACAACGUGCUACUUCACUGGUUUGGGGUUUUGUACAUGUUGACAGUACAUUGCAGUGUUAUUUUGUUACAGCCGUGCCCACUGUGUGAAGUACUUUUGCAAGACUCCUAGCAAUAAUAUUACACUUCACCAAAGAGCCUGCUGUAAAAGAAAUGACCAUUGAAUGAAGAUACAUACUCAGGUCACCGUGAUCUGAAAAGGAGAGUGAAGAAUGUUUUUGUAUUCCCCAGAUUCUAAUCAUCUUGGAUGAAUAAACAAGCAAUUCCUAAUUUCACUUGGAAAUGUGUUUACUAUAAAAGUGUAGCACUGUUUCCACACAAAAUACCUUCUGUUUUUGGAAAGAUGCCCAUGUGUGUCUUCCAGGUUGAACAUUCCACCCUUUGUGCCUGCCCGGACUGUGCUGGAAGGCCUCGAGUCAGAGGAUGCGUGUGAAGACAAGAAAGCUGUAAAAAAGGAGAUCCAUAGCAAAAAGGGAGCCAAAAAGGACAAAAUGGAAGAGGAGAAUACAGACCUGCUCAGACUUUGCCACACAGUACCGCUGGAGGUGGUGAACUUAGGUAAGAAUCCAUGUUUCAAGGUUGAUCGGGGUGGGGGGAAGACAACGACACAAAGGUGCUCCUCUUAUUUAGACUUUUUGUUUAUGGAGGUGGGAAAGGUUACGAUCCAGAGAAGAAAGACUACUCAGGUUUUGAGGCCUGGUUGCAGUGUUACUAUGUGGAUGGAAUGAAGUCUGUACGCGACCACAAUGGCAGGACUAUGUGGUUCAAAGUAUGCAAACACAUUUUCAUACGUAACAACUAUAUUUGUAGCACGUAUUGACUAAUAGAAAAUGGUGUCAUUUCAGGGCGAUCCAGGUCCUAUGGCUCCUAAAGGUAAACGCCAGAAAAAAUAGUUGAGAUACCAUUACACAUAAGAGAAAGCUUAGUGUGUCUUUAUCUUUUCUCACACACCAGAAUCAAAGUCUCCAAAGGCCAAAAAGAGAAAAGAUACAGAUGCAGACCAUGAUUACCCCCGCAAGAAAAAGGUAUAUUCAGUAGGUAAUCACCACCAGCACAUAGAAAUCUAACCCCAUUGUGGCUGUACUUCAGGUGUCCAGGAAACACAACUCUGACAGCACAGUGAAGAAAAAAGCAGCCAAAAAGCCCACAAAAGCAGCAAAGGAAGAAGAAAAUGGACCUCAAGAAGAAGCCACACCCAGAAGAAGAUCAGCAAACACACCUCAGCAAGAACCGAAAUCCACGUCAGGCAGGAGGAAAAAGAACAAUACAGAGCCAGCUGCAGGUCUGAUUCUAAUAAUACUCCCAUUUUCUGAAAAUAUUAAGAGCCUGAUCUUUGAGGAUCCAAUUCCCACACACUUAUCUGUGUGCGCAAACUAUAAAAUUGCAUGUACUGUUGGUGGACGUGUUGUAUGUGAUCUACUUUGUGCAAUUGAUAGCAGCAAAAGUGGCACAGAUCACCCUAUUUUUGUGUACUAGAAGCAUUAUGUGCCCUUGGAAACACUUCUUUCCCUCUACAUUCAUGUUAUUAUGCUCUCCACACUGGAGGGGGGCUUAUAUUAGAUUAUAGCACAUAUCGAUCAUCUAACACCUUUUCUGCAAUAUAGAAUCACAGUAUGUAUACUAUUUGCAGCAGGAAUGAUCAAACUGCAUAUUGCAAGACAUUUUUUUUAGGAGUUAUACUAAAUACAAAAAAAAAAAACGCAACGCUUUUGUUCUUGUUCCCAAUUUAAAUGAACUCAAAGAUCGAAAACUUUGACUAUAAACACAAAAUACCUGUUCCUCUCAAAUAUUGUUCACAAAUCUGUAUACAUUUGUUAGUGAGCAUUUUUUCUUUGCCAAGAUAAUCCAUCCCACCUGACAGGUGUGCCUUGAGCUGUCCAAAAUAAAAGGCCACUGUGAAAUGUGCAGUUUUAUCACACAACACAAUGCUUCAGAUGUCGCAAGUUUUGAGGGAGCGUGCAGUAGGCAUGCUGACUGCAGCAAUGUCCACCAGAGCUGUUGCCCGUCAAUUAAAUGUUUAUUUCUCCGCCAUAAGAAUAGAAUAGAAUAGAAAGUACUUUAUUGAUCCCUGGGGGAAAUUCAGCACCACAGUUCGCUCACAAUAAACAAUGAUAAUAAUAAAUAAUAUAAUAUAUAUGAAUAAUAUAAAUAUAUUCUACAUUUAAGUGCAGUCAAGGAACAUAUGCAUUAUACAGUCGGAUGGCUGUCGGUGUGAAGGACCUCCUGUGUCGUUCCGUGUUGCAUUUUGGGAGUCUGAGCCUUCCACUGAAUGUGCUCAUUCUCUCUGCAAGGUCCGAGUGUAGUGGGUGGGAGGUGUUGUCCAUAAUGGCUAGGAGUUUUGCUAGACUUCUCUCUGACACCACCGCCAGAGAGUCCAGCUCCACUCCCAUCUUGUUACUGGCCUUCUCUACCAACUUGUCCAGUCUGUAUGUGUCCCUCACUCUCAGCCCGCUGCCCCAGCAGGCCACGGCGUACAAGAGGGCGCCUGCCACCAGCGACUCGUAGAACAUCUUCAACAUCUUUGUACAGACGUUGAAGGAUCCUAGCCUCCAAAGGAAAUAUAGAUUCGGCUCUGUCCCUUCUUGUAGAGGGCCUCAGCGUGUUUUGACCCAUUCAGCUUGUUGUCCAUGUGUACUCCGAGGUAUUUAUAAUCCUCUACCAUGUCCACAUCCACCCCUUUGAUGGAAACAGGGGUCGCCAGAGUACUCCUCCUCCUUCCCAGGUCCACAACCAGCUCCUUGGUCUCCGUAACAUUGAGCUGGAGGUGGUUCUUUCCACACCAUGUGACAAAGUCCUCCACCAGUGUCCUGUAUUCCUCGUCAUCACCUUCCUCAAUACACCCCACUAUCGCAGAGUCAUCAGAAAACUUCUGAAGGUGGCAGGACUCUGACUGAUAGUGGAAAUGGGUGGUGUAAAUGGUGUAGAGGAAGGGGGAAGAGUACUGUAGCCUCCGGGGCCCCGGUGUUGCUGACCAGCCUGUUAGACACACAGUCCUGCAGUGGCAUAUACUGUGGUCUGUCAGUCAGGUAAUCUACAACCCAGGACACCAAGGGGGCCUCCACCUGCAUCUUCUCCAACUUCCCACCCAGUAGCCCAGGCCGUUUAGUAUAAGCCGCCUCCAAAGGUGUUUCAGAGAAUUUGGCAAUACAUCCAACUGGCCUCACAGCCGCAGACCAUAUUGAUUGGCUGAGACCUGCCACCCGGACAGCUGCUACAACAAUUGGUUUGCUUAACCAUAGCAUUUCUGCACAAACUGUAAGAAACUACCAUGAAUUGAUUAACGUGGACCCCGACUUAAACAAGUUGAAAAACGUAUUGGGGUGUUACCAAUUAGUGGUCAAUUGUACGGAAUAUGUACUGAACUGUGCAAUCUACUAAUAAAAGUAUCAAUCAAUCAA
Molecule: RNA transcript, 6009 nt
Organism: Nerophis ophidion (straightnose pipefish)
Lineage: Eukaryota; Metazoa; Chordata; Actinopteri; Syngnathiformes; Syngnathidae
Gene name: endonuclease 8-like 1
Exons: 4
Source: RefSeq, a predicted model, not a curated record